RNAcentral lists this ribosomal RNA (429 nucleotides) under Chloroflexota bacterium. RNAcentral's name for it is "Chloroflexi bacterium partial 16S ribosomal RNA". It matches the Rfam family "Bacterial small subunit ribosomal RNA", at positions 355 to 776 of the family's 1533-position model. The record is from RNAcentral. Lineage: Bacteria; Bacillati; Chloroflexota.
UGGGGAAUAUUGCACAAUGGGCGCAAGCCUGAUGCAGCCAUGCCGCGUGUAUGAAGAAGGCCUUCGGGUUGUAAAGUACUUUCAGCGGGGAGGAAGGGAGUAAAGUUAAUACCUUUGCUCAUUGACGUUACCCGCAGAAGAAGCACCGGCUAACUCCGUGCCAGCAGCCGCGGUAAUACGGAGGGUGCAAGCGUUAAUCGGAAUUACUGGGCGUAAAGCGCACGCAGGCGGUUUGUUAAGUCAGAUGUGAAAUCCCCGGGCUCAACCUGGGAACUGCAUCUGUUACUGGCAAGCUUGAGUCUCGUAGAGGGGGGUAGAAUUCCAGGUGUAGCGGUGAAAUGCGUAGAGAUCUGGAGGAAUACCGGUGGCGAAGGCGGCCCCCUGGACAAAGACUGACGCUCAGGUGCGAAAGCGUGGGGAGCAAACAGG